UACAGAGGGGGCAAGCGUUAUUCGGAAUUAUUGGGCGUAAAGGGCGCGUAGGUGGUUUGUUAAGUCUGCUGUGAAAGCCCCGGGCUCAACCUGGGAAUGGCAGUGGAUACUGGCAAGCUAGAGUGCGGUAGAGGGGUGUGGAAUUCCCGGUGUAGCGGUGAAAUGCGUAGAGAUCGGGAGGAACACCAGUGGCGAAGGCGGCACCCUGGACCAGCACUGACACUGAGGCACGAAAGCGUGGGGAGCAAACAGG
RNAcentral lists this ribosomal RNA (253 nucleotides) under uncultured bacterium. RNAcentral's name for it is "partial 16S ribosomal RNA". It matches the Rfam family "Bacterial small subunit ribosomal RNA", at positions 524 to 776 of the family's 1533-position model. The record is from RNAcentral.